AUAUCUCUAUCUAUGAAAUUCCCCCCAGGCAUUUCUGAUCUAGCUGGUUCUUUGAAUCACUGGUCUUUUUUGUGUGAUUUAUGACCUUUCAGAAUUGAUUCUCUUAAGUCUUAACAUUAUAUCGUCCUUAUACCAUUUAAAUCACUUGGCUUCUUUUCAAUGGUACUGAAUUAUAAAAGCUACAGUUACUGAAAACCACAACGUUCUAUAAUUAUGACUCAAAUGGGUUGAAAAUGGAAAACAUACACAUAUAAAAUUUUGUAGAAAGUCAAGGAGGAAAAAAAUCCUAGCUGCCAACAAUUUCCCAUGUUGAGACCUCAUGUUGCAACUUUCUCCCAAAGUGAAUUUUAUGUCGGAGCCAUAAAGAUCUAAGAGCCCCUCGAGGGAAUGCUGGCAGCAGCUCUCGCAGGCCAUUAGAAUCACCUCUUCCAUCCCUCCCCACCCCCAGCCACUUCAGUAAAGACUUUCAGCCUCUCUAAGAGCUCCCCGCACAAACUAUCAAUAAUUCACUGUUUUCUAACAUGAUCAUUUGUAAGAGAUAUUUUUCUGUUACUGCUGUCAACAAAAACCUGUUUAAUUCACACAGAUUAUUAUUUUCCCCAUAUGUUCCGCAACUCAGAGCUAUAAAUAGACAACACGAAUGUUACCCACAAUGUACAAAUAGAGAAGCAGCAUGACAUGGCCAACGGCGUUGUUCAAUAUUAGAAAACUGCGUUAAUGUGUAAUUGCAAAAAUCUGAAAACUGGUCCUAAAAAUGAAUGGGUUAAAAGUCAUCCAGUAACAAAAAACAAACCAACAAAACGAUACGGUCCCAAAUCAGUGCAAAAUUUAUUCUAAGAAAAAUCUUUAUCUAGCAUCUUGAAUUUUUAACAUCAGCUCCUUUAAAGUGAAGCCAAGUUUGUUCUUCUCUUAAACGUACAUUAUUUCCUUUCUGAAAGGCAUCCUUUCAGGUG
RNAcentral lists this long non-coding RNA (953 nucleotides) under Bos taurus (domestic cattle). RNAcentral's name for it is "long non-coding RNA NONBTAT004752". Lineage: Eukaryota; Metazoa; Chordata; Mammalia; Artiodactyla; Bovidae. The record is from RNAcentral.